This 324-nucleotide ribosomal RNA is filed under the name uncultured Helicobacter sp. RNAcentral describes it as "bacterial SSU rRNA". It matches the Rfam family "Bacterial small subunit ribosomal RNA", at positions 323 to 664 of the family's 1533-position model. Lineage: Bacteria; Pseudomonadati; Campylobacterota; Epsilonproteobacteria; Campylobacterales; Helicobacteraceae. The record is from RNAcentral.
GGCACGGUCCAGACUCCUACGGGAGGCAGCAGUAGGGAAUAUUGCUCAAUGGGCGCAAGCCUGAAGCAGCAACGCCGCGUGGAGGAUGAAGGUUUUAGGAUUGUAAACUCCUUUUGUGAGAGAAGAUAAUGACGGUAUCUCACGAAUAAGCACCGGCUAACUCCGUGCCAGCAGUCGCGGUAAUACGGAGGGUGCAAGCGUUACUCGGAAUCACUGGGCGUAAAGAGCGCGUAGGCGGGAUAGUCAGUCAGGUGUGAAAUCCUAUGGCUUAACCAUAGAACUGCAUUUGAAACUACUAUUCUAGAGUGUGGGAGAGGUAGGUGG